UACGUAGGGUGCGAGCGUUGUCCGGAAUUACUGGGCGUAAAGAGCUCGUAGGUGGUUUGUCGCGUUGUCCGUGAAAACUCACAACUCAAUUGUGGGCGUGCGGGCGAUACGGGCAGACUGGAGUACUGCAGGGGAGACUGGAAUUCCUGGUGUAGCGGUGGAAUGCGCAGAUAUCAGGAGGAACACCGGUGGCGAAGGCGGGUCUCUGGGCAACUACUGACGCUGAGGAGCGAAAGCGUGGGGAGCGAACAGG
Molecule: ribosomal RNA, 253 nt
Filed under: uncultured bacterium
Lineage: Bacteria
Description: partial 16S ribosomal RNA
Rfam family: Bacterial small subunit ribosomal RNA
Source: RNAcentral